RNAcentral lists this ribosomal RNA (463 nucleotides) under uncultured bacterium. RNAcentral describes it as "bacterial SSU rRNA". It matches the Rfam family "Bacterial small subunit ribosomal RNA", at positions 339 to 794 of the family's 1533-position model. The record is from RNAcentral.
GUACGGGAGGCAGCAGUGGGGAAUAUUGGACAAUGGGCGCAAGCCUGAUCCAGCCAUGCCGCGUGUGUGAAGAAGGCCUUCGGGUUGUAAAGCACUUUUGUUGGGGAAGAAAAGACCGCGGUUAAUAACCGUGGUUCAUGACGGUACCCAAAGAAUAAGCACCGGCUAACUUCGUGCCAGCAGCCGCGGUAAUACGAAGGGUGCAAGCGUUACUCGGAAUUACUGGGCGUAAAGCGUGCGUAGGCGGUUUGUUAAGUCUGUCGUGAAAGCCCCGGGCUCAACCUGGGAAUGGCGGUGGAUACUGGCAGGCUAGAGUACGGUAGAGGAUGGUGGAAUUCCCGGUGUAGCAGUGAAAUGCGUAGAGAUCGGGAGGAACAUCUAUGGCGAAGGCAGCCAUCUGGACCAGUACUGACGCUGAGGCACGAAAGCGUGGGGAGCAAACAGGAUUAGAUACCCCGGUAGC